Molecule: transfer RNA, 68 nt
Filed under: Leiocephalus carinatus
Lineage: Eukaryota; Metazoa; Chordata; Lepidosauria; Squamata; Leiocephalidae
Description: tRNA-Cys
Source: RNAcentral
AAGCCCCGGAGCCUUAAAGGGCUCAUCCUUAAACUUGCAUUUUAAUGUGUUGCUUACACUACGGGGCU